This 335-nucleotide ribosomal RNA is filed under the name Poecilopsetta plinthus (tile-colored righteye flounder). RNAcentral describes it as "partial 12S ribosomal RNA". It matches the Rfam family "Bacterial small subunit ribosomal RNA", at positions 858 to 1360 of the family's 1533-position model. Lineage: Eukaryota; Metazoa; Chordata; Actinopteri; Pleuronectiformes; Poecilopsettidae. The record is from RNAcentral.
CAACAAAAAUCCGCCCGGGAAUUACAAACAUUAGUUUAAAACCCAAAGGACUUGGCGGUGCUUAACACCCCCCUAGAGGAGCCUGUUCUAGAAUUGAUAACCCCCGUUAAACCUCACCCUCCCUUGUUUUACCCGCCUAUAUACCACCGUCGUCAGCUUACCCUGUGAAGGCUUAAUAGUAAACAAAAUUGGCAUACCCCAAAACGUCAGGUCGAGGUGUAGUGUAUGGGAGGGGAAGAAAUGGGCUACAUUUGCUAACAAUAGCAAAUACGAAUGAUGCAUUGAAACAUGCAACUGAAGGAGGAUUUAGUAGUAAGCAGAAAAUAGAGUGUCCU